This 542-nucleotide ribosomal RNA is filed under the name Rhizopus arrhizus. Its description in RNAcentral is "eukaryotic LSU rRNA". It matches the Rfam family "Eukaryotic large subunit ribosomal RNA", at positions 67 to 608 of the family's 3401-position model. The record is from RNAcentral. Lineage: Eukaryota; Fungi; Mucoromycota; Mucoromycetes; Mucorales; Rhizopodaceae.
AACAAUGAUUUCCCUAGUAACGGCGAGUGAAGAGGAAAGAGCUCAAAGUUAAGUUGGAACCUGUUUGGCCUAGCUAAACAGGAUUGUAAACUGUAGAAGUGUUUUCCAGGCAAUCCGAGUUAAUAAGUCCUUUGGAACAGGGCAUCAUAGAGGGUGAGAAUCCCGUCUUUGAUUCGAGAUAUUUUGUCUUUUGCGAUACACUUUCAAAGAGUCAGGUUGUUUGGGAAUGCAGCCUAAAUUGGGUGGUAAAUCUCACCUAAAGCUAAAUAUUGGCGAGAAACCGAUAGCGAACAAGUACCGUGAGGGAAAGAUGAAAAGAACUUUGAAAAGAGAGUUAAACAGUAUGUGAAAUUGUUAAAAGGGAACCGUUUGGAGCCAGACUGGCUUGUCUGUAAUCAAUCUAGGUUUCGUGCCUGGAUGCACUUGCAGACUAUUUGCCCCUGCCAACGACAAUUUGACUUGAGGGAAAAAACUAAGGGAAAUGUGGCCCACUUGUGGGUGUUAUAGUCCCUUAGAAAAUACCUUGGGUUGGAUUGAGGAAC